RNAcentral lists this ribosomal RNA (1064 nucleotides) under uncultured organism. RNAcentral describes it as "bacterial SSU rRNA". It matches the Rfam family "Bacterial small subunit ribosomal RNA", at positions 110 to 1212 of the family's 1533-position model. The record is from RNAcentral.
GUAACACGUAGAUGACGUACCCUCAAGACGGGGAUAACGGAUGGAAACAUGCGCUAAUACCGGAUGACCUUACGAUGUCAGAAUGGUAAGGAAAGCUACGGCGCUUGAGGAGCGGUCUGCGGCCCAUCAGCUAGUUGGUAGGGUAAAGGCCUACCAAGGCGAAGACGGGUAGGGGGUGUGAGAGCACGGCCCCCCACAAUGGGACUGAGACACGGCCCAUACUCCUACGGGAGGCAACAGCAGGGAAUAUUGCACAAUGGACGGAAGUCUGAUGCAGCGACGCCGCGUGAGUGAAGAAGGCCUUCGGGUUGUAAAACUCUUUUGAGGGGGAAGAGCGAGGACGGUACCCCUGGAAUAAGCGUCGGCUAACUACGUGCCAGCAGCCGCGGUAAGACGUAGGACGCGAGCGUUAUCCGGAUUUACUGGGCGUAAAGCGUCUGUAGGCGGAUGUGUAAGUUGGGCGUGAAAGCUCCGGGCUUAACCCGGAGAGGCCGUUCAAUACUGCAUAACUUGAGGGUGUCAGAGGGGAGCGGAAUUCCCGGUGUAGCGGUAAAAUGCGCAGAGAUCGGGAGGAACACCAGUGGCGGAGGCGGUUCCCUGGGGCACACCUGACGCUGAGAGACGAAAGCUAGGGGAGCGAACAGGAUUAGAGACCCUGGUAGUCCUAGCCCUAAACGAUGAAUGCUAGGUGUGGGAUCGAAUGGUUCCGUGCCGGAGCGAACGCGAUAAGCAUUCCGCCUGGGGAGUACGGCCGCAAGGUUAAAACUCAAACGAAUUGACGGGGCCCCGCACAAGCAGCGGAGCGUGUGGUUUAAUUCGAUGCUACACGAAGAACCUUACCUGGGUUUGACAUGUAGGUGGUAGUGAAUCGAAAGGUGAACGACCCUUCGGGGAGCCUACACAGGUGCUGCAUGGCUGUCGUCAGCUCGUGCCGUGAGGUGUCGGGUUAAGUCCAGUCACGAGCGCAACCCUUGCUCCUAGUUCCAAGUAUCUAGGGGGACUCCCGGCGGAAAGCCGGAGGAAGGUGGGGACGACGUCAAGUCAGCAUGGCCCUUAUAUCCAGG